GAUGAACGCUAGCGAUAGGCCGAACACAUGCAAGUCGAGGGGCAGCAUAAAGGUAGCAAUACUUUGGUGGCGACCGGCGCACGGGUGAGUAACGCGUAUGCAACCUACCUACUACAAGGGGAUAACCCGGAGAAAUUCGGACUAAUACUCUAUAAUACAGGGGUCCCGCAUGGGAAUAUUUGUUAAAGAUUUAUUGGUAGUAGAUGGGCAUGCGUUCCAUUAGGUAGUUGGUGAGGUAACGGCUCACCAAGCCAUCGAUGGAUAGGGGAACUGAGAGGUUUAUCCCCCACACUGGAACUGAGACACGGUCCAGACUCCUACGGGAGGCAGCAGUGAGGAAUAUUGGUCAAUGGAGGCAACUCUGAACCAGCCAAGUCGCGUGAAGGACGACGGCCCUACGGGUUGUAAACUUCUUUUGUAAGGGAAUAAAGUUUAGUACGUGUACUAUUUUGCAUGUACCUUACGAAUAAGGAUCGGCUAACUCCGUGCCAGCAGCCGCGGUAAUACGGAGGAUCCGAGCGUUAUCCGGAUUUAUUGGGUUUAAAGGGUGCGCAGGCGGGAUGUUAAGUCGGCGGUGAAAUUUUGCGGCUCAACCGUAAAAGUGCCUUCGAAACUGGCAUUCUUGAGUGUAGAUGAAGUAGGCGGAAUUUGUGGUGUAGCGGUGAAAUGCAUAGAUAUCACGAGGAACUCCGAUUGCGCAGGCAGCUUACUAAGCUACAACUGACGCUCAUGCACGAAGGCGUGGGGAUCAAACAGG
RNAcentral lists this ribosomal RNA (757 nucleotides) under uncultured Porphyromonadaceae bacterium. Its description in RNAcentral is "bacterial SSU rRNA". It matches the Rfam family "Bacterial small subunit ribosomal RNA", at positions 28 to 776 of the family's 1533-position model. Lineage: Bacteria; Pseudomonadati; Bacteroidota; Bacteroidia; Bacteroidales; Porphyromonadaceae. The record is from RNAcentral.